UGCUGGGAGCUGCAAAAGCAACAAAUGCAGAAAGAUUAAUUGACUUGCCCGAAGUUAUAUUAAAUCAAGGCAAACUCCUGAGCAGAACCUGGGUCUCUGCUCCCCUGUUGCAAGGCAAAGUGGUUCCCGUGCUACUGCCCCAGUUUUGCCAGCCCUGGAGAAUCCAGCUUCCAUCGCCCUGCCGGGAACGCAGCGCAGUCACUGGGGUACUGCCCCAAUACCUUGGGGCCGCAGCUGCCUCCCUGCCAACAGCAGAGCAUUUCCCUGCACUUUUCACCCAGCAACUGGAUUAUUUAUUUUUAACUGCUGCUGUCAGAACUCAGGCCAAAGAUUGAAGUUUCCCCCACUUCCCCCUUCCUUCAAGAUCCCUAAAUCACUCAGACCAUUACACGGAGGAUCUUGAAAACCCAUACUUACUUGGGGUGUCCGAUUACAGGCUUUGAUGCGCUUUUUUAGCCCAGAAAGAGGCAAGAAUGACAACACCAUGUGGGCAGGACAGCUGCUGCGGUUCAAUGGGUCCAGGGGAGACCGAGGAGCUCCAGAGAUCAGCAGCGAAAUCAGACAGGCUCACACGGAAACGAAGGCACAGCAGCACUCACCACAGCAGGGGGCAAAGGAGGAACCGCCCGGAGCGGGCAUCGGCAAGGGAUGGGUCCCAGGCUCAAAGCUAUGCAUGCAUAUGCCAUCUUGCACCUUGUGCGGAGCAAUCUGUUUGGCAAAAAGUCACACUUACAAGUGGAAAAUAAGAGGACGAUACCGGCCCUGCUGAA
Falco peregrinus (peregrine falcon) is the source of this 770-nucleotide long non-coding RNA. RefSeq lists it as uncharacterized. The transcript is spliced from 2 exons. The record is from RefSeq and is a predicted model, not a curated record. Lineage: Eukaryota; Metazoa; Chordata; Aves; Falconiformes; Falconidae.